RNAcentral lists this ribosomal RNA (494 nucleotides) under uncultured bacterium. RNAcentral describes it as "partial 16S ribosomal RNA". It matches the Rfam family "Bacterial small subunit ribosomal RNA", at positions 28 to 507 of the family's 1533-position model. The record is from RNAcentral.
GACGAACGCUGGCGGCGUGCUUAACACAUGCAAGUCGAACGGAAAGGCCUGCUUUCCCUUGUGGAUUGCGGGUACUCGAGUGGCGAACGGGUGAGUAACACGUGAGUGAUCUGCCCCCAACUUGGGUAUAAGCCUGGGAAACUGGGUCUAAUUCCCGAUAGGACUGCAGGGUGGUGCCUGUGGUGGAAAACGAUUUUCUAGUGGUUGGGGAUGAGCUCGCGGCCUAUCAGCUUGUUGGUGGGGUAAUGGCCUACCAAGGCGGCGACGGGUAGCCGGCCUGAGAGGGUGGACGGGCACAUUGGGACUGAGAUACGGCCCAGACUCCUACGGGAGGCAGCAGUGGGGAAUAAUGGACAAUGGGCGGAAGCCUGAUGCAGCGACGCCGCGUGGGGGAUGACGGCCUUCGGGUUGUAAACUCCUUUCGACCGCGAGGAAGCCACCUGGUUGGAAGGGUGGUGACGGUAGUGGUAGAAGAAGCACCGGCUAACUACGUG